GCCGUUGGGUCUGCAGUCCCCAUUGGGUUCGGUAUCUCCACUGGGGGCAGGCACUACUAUUGGGGUUGGGACACUCAUUGGGGUCGGGGGCUCCUUUUGGGGUUGGGCACGCCUAUUGGGGUCAGGCACCCCCAUUAGGUUGAGAACUCCCAUUGGGAAUGGUACCUUCAUUUGGGUUCGGUGCCCCUUUUGGGGUCAGGCACCUCCAUUGGGCUGGGAACCCCAAUUGAGGUUGGGGCCCUGAUUGGGUUGGUUCCUUCAUUGGAGUUGGGCAUCUCUAUUGGAGUUGCUACCUUCAUUGGGGUCUGGCAACUCUAUUGGGGUCAGGCACCUCCACUGGGUUGGGAAACCCCAUUGGGGUUGGUACCUUCAUGGGAGCUGGUAACUUCGUUGGGGUUGGGCACCACUGUUGGGGUUAAGCACUUCCAUUGGGGUUGGGACCCCCAUUGGGAUUGGGAUCCUCAUUGGAUUUGGGACCCUCUUUGGGGUUGGGACCCUCUUUGGGGUUGGCAUCAUCAUUGGUGUUGGGACUUUCAUUUGGUUUGGCACUUCCUUUGAGUUUGGCAACUUCAGCGGGGUUGGUGACUUCAUUGGGUUGGACGCCUCCAUUGGGGUCGGGUACCUCCAUUGGGUUGGGCACCCCUGUUGGGGUUGGUACCCCCAUUGGGCACACCUUUUGGGGUCGGGAACCCACACUGGGGUCGAGACCCCCAUUCAGUUUGGCACUCCCUUUGAUUUUGGUACUUUCGUUGGGGUUGUUUCGCUCACAUUGGGGUUGGUACCCUCAAAAUGGGGUUGGUAAUCUCACACUGGGGUUGGUUCCCUCACUGGGGUCAGGUACCCCCAUUGGGGUGGGGACCCUCAUUGGGAUUGAACACUCCUAUAGGGGUGAGGAACCUCCAUUGGGUUGGGAACCACCAUUGGAAUUGGUACCUUCAUUGGGGUCGGGCACCCAUGUUGGGGUCAGGAAGCUCUACUGGGUCGGGACCCUCAUUGGGGUUGGUACUUUCGUUGGGUUUGGGCACCUCCAUCGGGGUUGGGAUCCUCAUUGGUGUUGGGCAUCUCCAUCAGGGUUAGGAUCCUCAUACAGGUUGGACACCUCUGUUGGGGUUUGGAACAUCUUUUGGGGUUGGGCACCUCUAUUGGGGUUGGGACCUUCAUUGGGGUCAGGCACCUCUGUUGGGGUUGGGAACAUCUAUUGGAGUAGGGAUCCUUAUUGAGGUUGGGACCCUCAUUGGGGUUGGGCACCUCUAUUGGGGUUGGGACCUUCAUUGAGGUUGGGACCCUCAUUGGGGUUGGGCACCUCUAUUGGGGUUGGGACCUUCAUUGAGGUUGGGACCCUCAUUGGGG
RNAcentral lists this long non-coding RNA (1350 nucleotides) under Gallus gallus (chicken). RNAcentral's name for it is "lncRNA (ENSGALG00010028819.1)". Lineage: Eukaryota; Metazoa; Chordata; Aves; Galliformes; Phasianidae. The record is from RNAcentral.